AAAAAAGAGACUUGCAAGGAACUUCACAAAGGAUCAAACUUAGGCAACUAAAAUCUGCAAUGACUAUCUCUUGCAUCACACACUCAAGUACUAAGACCUGCCCAUUACAUUAUACAGAAAGCUAAAAAGGCUAUUGAUAGCAUCCACGAAGGUUUUAUUUCAUUUCAGUCCUUUCAUUUUUUCUAUUUCACCCUUCGAUGCUUCAAAUUGUUUUUUUUUUUAAUUUGAUUUAAUAGGGUGUUGUUUU
Molecule: long non-coding RNA, 247 nt
Filed under: Populus tremula
Lineage: Eukaryota; Viridiplantae; Streptophyta; Magnoliopsida; Malpighiales; Salicaceae
Description: long non-coding RNA (PTRE_LNC003050)
Source: RNAcentral